CUGGCUCAGGAUGAACGCUGGCGGCGUGCCUAACACAUGCAAGUCGAGCGGAGUUUAUUAAGGAAGUCUUAGGACGGAAAGAAUAAACUUAGCGGCGGACGGGUGAGUAACACGUGAGCAACCUGCCUUUAGCUGGGGAAUAACACUGGGAAACCAGUGCUAAUACCGCAUAAUAUCCAAGUGUGGCAUCACAUUUGGAUCAAAGGAGAAAUCCGGCAAAAGAUGGGCUCGCGUCCGAUUAGAUAGUUGGUAGGGUAAAGGCCUACCAAGUCAACGAUCGGUAGCCGGACUGAGAGGUUGACCGGCCACAUUGGGACUGAGACACGGCCCAGACUCCUACGGGAGGCAGCAGUGGGGAAUAUUGGGCAAUGGGGGAAACCCUGACCCAGCAACGCCGCGUGAAGGAAGAAGGUCUUCGGAUUGUAAACUUCUUUGAUCAGGGACGAAGAAAUGACUGUACCUGAAGAACAAGUCACGGCUAACUACGUGCCAGCAGCCGCGGUAAUACGUAGGUGGCAAGCGUUAUCCGGAUUUACUGGGUGUAAAGGGCGUGUAGGCGGGUCUGCAAGUCAGAUGUGAAAUCUCCGGGCUUAACUCGGAAGUGUCAUCUGAAACUACGG
RNAcentral lists this ribosomal RNA (620 nucleotides) under bacterium enrichment culture clone dylF49. Its description in RNAcentral is "bacterial SSU rRNA". It matches the Rfam family "Bacterial small subunit ribosomal RNA", at positions 19 to 638 of the family's 1533-position model. The record is from RNAcentral.